Molecule: ribosomal RNA, 253 nt
Filed under: uncultured bacterium
Lineage: Bacteria
Description: partial 16S ribosomal RNA
Rfam family: Bacterial small subunit ribosomal RNA
Source: RNAcentral
UACGUAGGGUGCGAGCGUUGUCCGGAAUUAUUGGGCGUAAAGGGCUCGUAGGCGGUCUGUUGCGUCGGGAGUGAAAACUCAGGGCUUAACCCUGAGCCUGCUUCCGAUACGGGCGGACUAGAGGUAUGCAGGGGAGAACGGAAUUCCUGGUGUAGCGGUGAAAUGCGCAGAUAUCAGGAGGAACACCGGUGGCGAAGGCGGUUCUCUGGGCAUUACCUGACGCUGAGGAGCGAAAGUGUGGGGAGCGAACAGG